GAUGAACGCUGGCGGCGUGCCUAAUACAUGCAAGUCGAGCGAACAGAAGAGGAGCUUGCUCCUCUGACGUUAGCGGCGGACGGGUGAGUAACACGUGGAUAACCUACCUAUAAGACUGGGAUAACUUCGGGAAACCGGAGCUAAUACCGGAUAACAUGUUGAACCGCAUGGUUCAACAGUGAAAGACGGUCUUGCUGUAACUUAUAGAUGGAUCCGCGCCGCAUUAGCUAGUUGGUAAGGUAACGGCUUACCAAGGCAACGAUGCGUAGCCGACCUGAGAGGGUGAUCGGCCACACUGGAACUGAGACACGGUCCAGACUCCUACGGGAGGCAGCAGUAGGGAAUCUUCCGCAAUGGGCGAAAGCCUGACGGAGCAACGCCGCGUGAGUGAAGAAGGUCUUCGGAUCGUAAAACUCUGUUAUUAGGGAAGAACAAAUGUGUAAGUAACUAUGCACGUCUUGACGGUACCUAAUCAGAAAGCCACGGCUAACUACGUG
This 497-nucleotide ribosomal RNA is filed under the name uncultured bacterium. RNAcentral describes it as "partial 16S ribosomal RNA". It matches the Rfam family "Bacterial small subunit ribosomal RNA", at positions 28 to 507 of the family's 1533-position model. The record is from RNAcentral.